This 69-nucleotide transfer RNA is filed under the name Rattus norvegicus (Norway rat). It matches the Rfam family "tRNA". From Rfam's summary of the family: Transfer RNA (tRNA) molecules are approximately 80 nucleotides in length. Their secondary structure includes four short double-helical elements and three loops (D, anti-codon, and T loops). Lineage: Eukaryota; Metazoa; Chordata; Mammalia; Rodentia; Muridae. The record is from Rfam by way of RNAcentral.
GGGGAUUUAGCUUAGUGGUAGAGCACUUGCUUAGCAAGCACAAGGCCCUGGGUUCGGUCCCCAGCUCCG